This 839-nucleotide ribosomal RNA is filed under the name Stemphylium majusculum. Its description in RNAcentral is "LSU rRNA". It matches the Rfam family "Eukaryotic large subunit ribosomal RNA", at positions 94 to 952 of the family's 3401-position model. Lineage: Eukaryota; Fungi; Ascomycota; Dothideomycetes; Pleosporales; Pleosporaceae. The record is from RNAcentral.
UGACCCGGCACAGCUCAAAUUUGAAAUCUGGCUCUUUUAGGGUCCGAGUUGUAAUUUGCAGAGGGCGCUUUGGCUUUGGCAGCGGUCCAAGUUCCUUGGAACAGGACGUCACAGAGGGUGAGAAUCCCGUACGUGGUCGCUAGCUAUUGCCGUGUAAAGCCCCUUCGACGAGUCGAGUUGUUUGGGAAUGCAGCUCUAAAUGGGAGGUAAAUUUCUUCUAAAGCUAAAUAUUGGCCAGAGACCGAUAGCGCACAAGUAGAGUGAUCGAAAGAUGAAAAGCACUUUGGAAAGAGAGUCAAACAGCACGUGAAAUUGUUGAAAGGGAAGCGCUUGCAGCCAGACUUGCUUGCAGUUGCUCAUCCGGGCUUUUGCCCGGUGCACUCUUCUGUAGGCAGGCCAGCAUCAGUUUGGGCGGUGGGAUAAAGGUCUCUGUCACGUACCUCUCUUCGGGGAGGCCUUAUAGGGGAGACGACAUACCACCAGCCUAGACUGAGGUCCGCGCAUCUGCUAGGAUGCUGGCGUAAUGGCUGUAAGCGGCCCGUCUUGAAACACGGACCAAGGAGUCUAACAUCUAUGCGAGUGUUUGGGUGUCAAGCCCGAGCGCGUAAUGAAAGUGAACGGAGGUGGGAACCCGCAAGGGUGCACCAUCGACCGAUCCUGAAGUUUUCGGAAGGAUUUGAGUAAGAGCAUGGCUGUUGGGACCCGAAAGAUGGUGAACUAUGCUUGAAUAGGGUGAAGCCAGAGGAAACUCUGGUGGAGGCUCGCAGCGGUUCUGACGUGCAAAUCGAUCGUCAAAUUUGGGCAUAGGGGCGAAAGACUAAUCGAACUAUCUAGUAGCU